This 275-nucleotide ribosomal RNA is filed under the name uncultured bacterium. Its description in RNAcentral is "partial 16S ribosomal RNA". It matches the Rfam family "Bacterial small subunit ribosomal RNA", at positions 399 to 691 of the family's 1533-position model. The record is from RNAcentral.
GCGUGGGUGAAGAAGGCCUUAGGGUUGUAAAGCCCUUUCACUGGUGAAGAUGAUGACGGUAACCAGGGAAGAAGCCCCGGCUAACUCCGUGCCAGCAGCCGCGGUAAUACGGAGGGGGCAAGCGUUGUUCGGAAUUACUGGGCGUAAAGGGCGCGUAGGCGGGAUGUCAAGUUAGGGGUGAAAGGCCUGGGCUCAACCUGGGAACUGCCUCUAAAACUGGCGUUCUUGAGUUCGGGAGAGGAUGGCGGAAUUCCCAGUGUAGAGGUGAAAUUCGU